RNAcentral lists this ribosomal RNA (253 nucleotides) under uncultured bacterium. RNAcentral's name for it is "partial 16S ribosomal RNA". It matches the Rfam family "Bacterial small subunit ribosomal RNA", at positions 524 to 776 of the family's 1533-position model. The record is from RNAcentral.
UACGUAGGGCGCAAGCGUUAUCCGGAAUUAUUGGGCGUAAAGAGCUCGUAGGCGGUUUGUCGCGUCUGCCGUGAAAGUCCGGGGCUCAACUCCGGAUCUGCGGUGGGUACGGGCAGACUAGAGUGAUGUAGGGGAGACUGGAAUUCCCGGUGUAGCGGUGAAAUGUGUAGAGAUCGGGAGGAACACCGGUGGCGAAGGCGGGUCUCUGGGCAAUUCCUGACGCUGAGGCGCGAAAGCGUGGGGAGCAAACGGG